ACGGAAGGCAGCAGUGAGGAAUAUUGGUCAAUGGGCGCAAGCCUGAACCAGCCAAGUAGCGUGCAGGAUGACGGCCCUAUGGGUUGUAAACUGCUUUUGUCGGGGAAUAAAGUGCCCCAUGCGUGGGGUUUUGCAAGUACCGCAGGAAUAAGGAUCGGCUAACUCCGUGCCAGCAGCCGCGGUAAUACGGAGGAUCCGAGUGUUAUCCGGAUUUAUUGGGUUUAAAGGGUGCGUAGGCGGAGGAUCAAGUCAGUGGUGAAAUGGUGCGGCUCAACCGUAGCAUUGCCGUUGAAACUGGUUUUCUAGAGUGCGAAUGAGGUGGGCGGAAUGUGUCAUGUAGCGGUGAAAUGCAUAGAUAUGACACAGAACACCGAUUGCGAAGGCAGCUCACUGGGACGCAACUGACGCUGAGGCACGAAAGUGCGGGGAUCGAACAGGAUUAGAUACCCUGGUA
RNAcentral lists this ribosomal RNA (454 nucleotides) under uncultured Porphyromonadaceae bacterium. RNAcentral's name for it is "bacterial SSU rRNA". It matches the Rfam family "Bacterial small subunit ribosomal RNA", at positions 341 to 792 of the family's 1533-position model. Lineage: Bacteria; Pseudomonadati; Bacteroidota; Bacteroidia; Bacteroidales; Porphyromonadaceae. The record is from RNAcentral.